AGUGAACGCUGGCGGUAGGCCUAACACAUGCAAGUCGAACGGCAGCACAGUAAGAGCUUGCUCUUACGGGUGGCGAGUGGCGGACGGGUGAGGAAUACAUCGGAAUCUACUUUUUCGUGGGGGAUAACGUAGGGAAACUUACGCUAAUACCGCAUACGACCUACGGGUGAAAGCAGGGGAUCUUCUGACCUUGCGCGAUUGAAUGAGCCGAUGUCGGAUUAGCUAGUUGGCGGGGUAAAGGCCCACCAAGGCGACGAUCCGUAGCUGGUCUGAGAGGAUGAUCAGCCACACUGGAACUGAGACACGGUCCAGGCUCCUGCGGGAGGCAGCAGUGGGGAAUAUUGGACAAUGGGCGCAAGCCUGAUCCAGCCAUACCGCGUGGGUGAAGAAGGCCUUCGGGUUGUAAAGCCCUUUUGUUGGGAAAGAAAAGCAGCAGGUUAAUACCCCGCUGUUCUGACGGUACCCAAAGAAUAAGCACCGGCUAACUUCGUG
This 492-nucleotide ribosomal RNA is filed under the name uncultured bacterium. RNAcentral describes it as "partial 16S ribosomal RNA". It matches the Rfam family "Bacterial small subunit ribosomal RNA", at positions 29 to 507 of the family's 1533-position model. The record is from RNAcentral.